GUGAAUCAUCGAAUUUUUGAACGCAAAUUGCACUCUCCUCGGAGAGUAUGCCUGUUUGAGGGUCAGCCUAUAAAAAAUCGACAUCGUUGCUGUUUCGCGGUGGCGUUCGUCGGAUAUUGGGUCAUCUUAAAUCUUUUGGUUUUAAGUGUCUUAAAAUUUUCUUUUUGGUUCCAUGAACGUUUCUAUGUUUUAUUUCUUUACACGUUUAAGGUAUCGAUUUUUAUUAGACGUGACCAUCAUAUCGGAUCGCGUUCAUAUUUUUUCAUUAAC
Molecule: unclassified non-coding RNA, 270 nt
Filed under: Glomeraceae sp.
Lineage: Eukaryota; Fungi; Glomeromycota; Glomeromycetes; Glomerales; Glomeraceae
Description: partial contains 5.8S ribosomal RNA and internal transcribed spacer 2
Rfam family: 5.8S ribosomal RNA (bases 1-65)
Source: RNAcentral